GUUUCCUGUUUUCUGUAAUUAUUUGUUUCUUCCUGCAUUGCUGAGGGAGGACACUUCACCUUGGGAGCAGGUUUCUGCCUGUCCUUAAGAGGAGACUCAAAGGAAGAGGGAAUAUUUCUGAAAGGUUUCACGUGGGGUUUUGUUUUGGAAGAAGCAAUGAAUACUUGGUCUCUUUCCAACUUCUCUACACCACUCAUGAUUUUGCACAUCUUUUUAGUCAUCUCUUUUUCAGACUAGAAAAAAAUAUGUAUUGGGCAAGUUUAAGAAAAAACCAAAAACAAAGCAAUUUUUAAGACUUUGAGAAAACACUGCUGCUUAUGAAAGUUACCAUCCAUUCUGCAGAAUGAAAGGCAGUAUUCUGCUUUCCUCCAGGAUCAAUAGAUGACUGAGAUGUCUGAUUUUGUUUGUUAUGCCUUAUUAUCACUUGCAAGGUGCCUGCUCUUCUUCCAGACUGAUGCAUUUGCUUACAUGUGCACCCUGAUGAUUUCAUCCAAGUCAGCAUUGUUUCUAGAAUUAACAAACCUGGAACCAAAGCACGUCU
Long non-coding RNA from Chiroxiphia lanceolata (lance-tailed manakin), 541 nucleotides. RefSeq lists it as uncharacterized. The record is from RefSeq and is a predicted model, not a curated record. Lineage: Eukaryota; Metazoa; Chordata; Aves; Passeriformes; Pipridae. The transcript is spliced from 3 exons.